RNAcentral lists this ribosomal RNA (460 nucleotides) under uncultured bacterium. RNAcentral's name for it is "partial 16S ribosomal RNA". It matches the Rfam family "Bacterial small subunit ribosomal RNA", at positions 338 to 795 of the family's 1533-position model. The record is from RNAcentral.
CCUACGGGAGGCAGCAGUGAGGAAUAUUGGUCAAUGGGCGUAAGCCUGAACCAGCCAAGUCGCGUGAGGGAUGAAGGUUCUAUGGAUCGUAAACCUCUUUUAUAAGGGAAUAAAGUGUGGGACGUGUCCUGUUUUGUAUGUAUCUUAUGAAUAAGGAUCGUCUAACUCCGUGCCAGCAGCCGCUGUAAUACGGAGGAUCCGAGCGUUAUCCGGAUUUAUUGGGUUUACAGGGUGCGUAGGCGGCCUUUUAAGUCAGCGGUGAAAGUCUGUGGCUCAACCAUAGAAUUGCCGUUGAAACUGGGAGGCUUGAGUAUGUUUGAGGCAGGCGGAAUGCGUGGUGUAGCGGUGAAAUGCUUAGAUAUCACGCAGAACCCCGAUUGCGAAGGCAGCCUGCCAAGCCAUGACUGACGCUGAUGCACGAAAGCGUGGGGAUCAAACAGGAUUAGAUACCCCAGUAGUC